GACGAACGCUGGCGGCGUGCUUAACACAUGCAAGUCGAACGGAAAGGCCCCCACUUUUUUGGUGGGGGUGCUCGAGUGGCGAACGGGUGAGUAACACGUGGGUGAUCUGCCCUGUACUUCGGGAUAAGCUUGGGAAACUGGGUCUAAUACCGGAUAGGACCAUGGUUUAGUGUCUCAUGGUGGAAAAAUUAUUGUUUUGGUGCAGGAUGAGCUCGCGGCCUAUCAGCUUGUUGGUGGGGUAAUGGCCUACCAAGGCGUCGACGGGUAGCCGGCCUGAGAGGGUGGACGGCCACAUUGGGACUGAGAUACGGCCCAGACUCCUACGGGAGGCAGCAGUGGGGAAUAUUGCACAAUGGGCGCAAGCCUGAUGCAGCGACGCCGCGUGGGGGAUGACGGCCUUCGGGUUGUAAACUCCCUUCGUUAGGGACGAAGCCACACCUUUUUUUGGGUGUGGUGACGGUACCUUUGUUAAGAAGCACCGGCUAACUACGUGCCAGCAGCCGCGGUAAUACGUAGGGUGCGAGCGUUGUCCGGAAUUACUGGGCGUAAAGAGC
This 554-nucleotide ribosomal RNA is filed under the name uncultured Corynebacterium sp. RNAcentral describes it as "bacterial SSU rRNA". It matches the Rfam family "Bacterial small subunit ribosomal RNA", at positions 28 to 568 of the family's 1533-position model. Lineage: Bacteria; Bacillati; Actinomycetota; Actinomycetes; Mycobacteriales; Corynebacteriaceae. The record is from RNAcentral.